Helianthus annuus (common sunflower) is the source of this 1970-nucleotide long non-coding RNA. RefSeq lists it as uncharacterized. The record is from RefSeq and is a predicted model, not a curated record. The transcript is spliced from 2 exons. NCBI's taxonomy places the organism in Eukaryota, Viridiplantae, Streptophyta, Magnoliopsida, Asterales, Asteraceae.
CUUAUGUAGAAAAAACGGGUUCCCGGGAACCCAGUCGGUUUUUAAUUUUUAGUGUAAAUAUAUAUAAGAAACUGAAAAGGAACCCAUAAGUAAAUUAUAAAGGGAACCUAUAAACAAAACAAGCCUUGGUUCCAUUGGUAAGUCCACCCUUUUCUUCCUGAUUUACCCAAGUUCGAAUCCCGUUUCAACUGUUUUUGUUUCGUUUUUUUUUCUCUUUUAAACUUUUUUUCUUUAAUGUAAUAAAACCCUUUUAGGGUUAUGUUACAUACGCCGCAAGCCACAUAACGAACAACCCUUUUACUGUAAAUCUUUUUUCUCUUCUGAGCUUUUCUUCCUGAUUGUUGCCGUCUGCUGCCGCUCUGCCACUGUGCUCGGCUGCUCCGCCGCUCCGCCACCAGCCCACCGCCGAGUUUUUCUUAUACGAAUCAGCGAACAUCGAUUAAGGCAUUAUCAGUUAUGCAGAAGAAUAUUUCAAGUUUUUUUCAAAGGCAACCACCACCUAACAUUGAAUCGUCAUCUACAACACGGUUCUCGACAUGCAAAUUCAAGAGCUUGGAAACCGUUUUAACGAGGUAACCACUAACUUGCUUACGUGUAUGAGUUCUUUGAGCCCGCGUGAUAAUUUUAGUUCCUUUAAUAAACUAAAUUUGCUAAAGUUUGCCGAAAUGUAUCCGUAUGAUUUUACUUUUGAUGAAAAAGAUAAGCUUAUCGAUGAACUCGGCCACUACAUUUCUAAUAUGAAAAAAGAUAGUCGGUUUGAUAACCUGAGUGGGGUUAGUGAUCUUGCCAAAAGGAUGGUGGAAACAAGGAAACACAUUGAGUAUCAGUUGGUCUAUCGUUUAAUAAAGUUGUCACUAGUUUUACCGGUUGCAACGGCUAGUGUUGAAAGGAGUUUUUCUUCAAUGAAGCUUGUGAAGACAGAAUUACGUAAUAGGAUGGGUGAUGGAUACAUGAACGAUUCUUGCAUUUGUUACAUUGAAAAGGAGUUCUUACAAAAAGUUUCCGUUGAGAGUGUAAUGCAACGUUUUCAAAAGAUGAAAACUCGUAUGAAAACUCGUCGUCAACAACUUUAGGUAGUUUUUUUUAUUUGUAAAGACUAUCGUAUUUUAUAUUAUGUGAUUUUAAAUUUCUAAUGACGAUUUUCUUUUCAUCAUUGUAUCUUACUUUUAUUAUGUGGUGAACCUUACCCGAUCCGAACUAUCGAACCGACCCGAAAUUCUUUACGUUCAAUCACAUGAAAUUGAAGUAUCUAAAAAAGUGAACCCGGUCAAAAAUAUUCCUGGAUCCGCCACUGACGCAAUUAAGAGAAAAAGGAGUACCGAUACCAUCGGAUUUAUGCGGAGUAUGUGGCUGUGACCAAGAAACACCGGACCACGUUCUUGUGAAUUGUAGAGAGGCUAAAGGAGUAUGGGAACAAAUCGGCUUAUGGGUCAAGGCACCAACAAUUAUUCAGCAGGAGACUUUAGGAGAGUUAUUCAAUGCAAUUGAGGAACAAAGAUGGCCGAAGAAAAGAAAAAAGGUUGUACAUGCUAUUUUCUUGUUGACAACUUGGACCGUCUGGAAAAAACGGAACGAAAAAGUAUUCCAAGAAAGGAAUGGUGAAGUGUUUAAAAUGAUAGAAGAAAUAAAAGAAGAAUCGUAUCAAUGGAUGAAGCAUAAAUCGAAGGUGCAAUUGACUUCUUGGGAGAGUUGGUUGUUUUUCUCUUGGUGUAGUUAAGUUGAGGUCUUAUGUAUUAGUGACCGUAUGUGACUUAGGUGUAAUUGAUCAUUUAAUGUUGUGUCUAGGUUCAAUGUAUGAGAGCCUAAGACUUGGUUUAGAUAGAUCCAUAAUUAUAGGAUAGUUAGCUCUUGUAAUCUGCAUAUAACAGAAACUUUGUAUCGCUGGAUGUACGCAGAAUCAUUAAUCGAAUAUCAUGAUUAUUAGCAUGGUAUCAGAGCUAAUAAUCAUCUUCCUUUUUUAUUGAUUUCAA